GGAGAGGUGGCUGAGUGGCUGAAAGCGACGGUUUGCUAAACCGUUGAUCGGUUAAUAAACUGAUCCGGGGGUUCGAAUCCCCCCCUCUCCG
This 91-nucleotide transfer RNA is filed under the name Phycisphaerae bacterium. RNAcentral describes it as "tRNA-Ser". It matches the Rfam family "tRNA". From Rfam's summary of the family: Transfer RNA (tRNA) molecules are approximately 80 nucleotides in length. Their secondary structure includes four short double-helical elements and three loops (D, anti-codon, and T loops). Lineage: Bacteria; Pseudomonadati; Planctomycetota; Phycisphaerae. The record is from RNAcentral.